Molecule: ribosomal RNA, 208 nt
Filed under: uncultured bacterium
Lineage: Bacteria
Description: partial 16S ribosomal RNA
Rfam family: Bacterial small subunit ribosomal RNA
Source: RNAcentral
AGUGUAGGUGGCUCAUUAAGUCACAUGUGAAAUCCCCGGGCUUAACCUGGGAACUGCAUGUGAUACUGGUGGUGCUAGGAUAUGUGAGAGGGAAGUAGAAUUCCAGGUGUAGCGGUGAAAUGCGUAGAGAUCUGGAGGAAUACCGAUGGCGAAGGCAGCUUCCUGGCAUAAUAUUGACACUGAGAUUCGAAAGCGUGGGUAGCAAACA